This is an RNA transcript of Suricata suricatta (meerkat), 2096 nucleotides long. It is a transcript of the gene named snurportin 1, with no coding region annotated. The transcript has 10 exons. NCBI's taxonomy places the organism in Eukaryota, Metazoa, Chordata, Mammalia, Carnivora, Herpestidae. The record is from RefSeq and is a predicted model, not a curated record.
AGGUGGGCCCAGCAGCGCGGCUGCAGCCAAAGGGGUGGAUCUGGCCCUCCCUGAGCAGCUGAUUGGUCGGCUCCCGAAAGCGGCGGCUGCUGCUCCUGGAACUGUCACCUCCGCCUGAGAAGAUGGAAGAGCUGAGUCAAGCCCUGGCUAGUAGCUUUUCUGUGUCUCAAGAUCUGAACAGCACAGCUGCCCCACACCCCCGCCUGUCCCAGUACAAGUCCAAGUACAGUUCCUUGGAGCAGAGUGAGCGGCGCCGCCGAUUAUUGGAACUGCAGAAAUCUAAGCGUCUGGAUUACGUGAAUCAUGCCAGACGACUGGCUGAAGAUGACUGGACAGGGAUGGAGAGUGAGGAAGAAGAAGAUAAGAAAGACGAUGAAGAGAUGGACAUUGACACUGGCAAGAAGUUACCAAAACGCUAUGCUAAUCAAUUGAUGCUGUCUGAAUGGUUGAUUGACGUCCCUCCAGAUCUGGGCCAGGAGUGGAUCGUGGUUGUGUGCCCUGUUGGGAAAAGAGCCCUGAUCGUGGCCUCCAGGGGUUCUACCAGUGCCUACACCAAGGGUGGUUACUGCGUCAACAGGUUUCCUUCCCUUCUGCCGGGAGGCAACAGGCGAAACUCAGUGACAGCAAAAGACUACACCAUUCUGGAUUGCAUUUACAGUGAGGUGAACCAGACCUACUAUGUUCUAGAUGUGAUGUGCUGGCGGGGACACCCUUUUUAUGACUGCCAGACUGAUUUCCGAUUCUACUGGAUGCACUCAAAGUUACCAGAAGAAGAAGGACUGGGAGAGAAAACCAAGCUCAAUCCUUUUAAAUUUGUAGGACUAAAGAAUUUCCCUUGUACCCCUGAGAGCCUGUGUCAGGUGCUGUCAAUGGAUUUCCCUUUUGAGGUAGACGGACUUCUCUUCUACCACAAGCAGACCCACUAUAGCCCUGGCAGCACUCCUCUCGUGGGCUGGCUGCGCCCCUACAUGGUGUCAGAUGUCCUCGGAGUGGCCGUGCCAGCUGGCCCGCUGACCACCAAGCCAGAAUAUGCUGGGCAGCAGCUCCAGCAAAUUAUUGAGCACAAGAGGGGCCAGGAAGGCAUGAGGGAGAAAGUCACACACAAGGCAUCUGGUGAUGGGCGCUAUGAGCUAGAACACCUGUCUACCCCCAAGCAGAAGAGCCCUCCCCUCUGCCUGGACCCCCCUGGGAGCCUCAUGGAGAACUAAACAGGACGGUUCCUUGGGAGUCACAGGACAGUGCUUGCUGGGGAGGAGGACAGCGGCAACAACAGGAAGCGUGUCCCAUUUCCUGUGGCUUCGAUCUGCUCCUCGCACUGCUUUUCACCUUUCUAGGACUUCUUUUAUUGGACAAAAAAGAUUCCACUAUUCUAGUCCAGCAGCACUAGCGUCCUGUGGACAAAAUUUCGGAGGGAUGCAGGUUAGAUCUUGUCUGACCAGCAGUUGUUCCCUUGUGAUGAUUAAUUCUGGGAAUAGAUCUGGGCAGAAGUCGUGGUUCAGUAGAGCCCGAUUACACACAUUCAGCACACCACUGGAACUAGCCUCAGCAUUGGGCUCUUACAGAGCUGCUAAAGCUGACUCUCUAAAAUCGGAGAAGGAAGACAACUACUCCCCCACCCCCAUAAUGAUCCUGCUGGCUGUGGAUUGAAGCAUGCCUACAUCAAUAAGCUCUUUUCUGAGUUUGGGUCAAUUCUGCAAUAAGAACAUUGUGUUCCUCUUGCCAAGAAGCAUGGUGUUGGCUGCCUAGAUGCUACAUGAUCUUCCAAAGGAAGUCUCUUGUUUGUGCUCUCAGCAGGCCAACUAUAUCAUUUCAGGAGCUGUGCAUACUAGCGAGCGUCAUAGAGACUUGGCUGGGCUCUGCUCAGAAAUAAGCAGUCUGAAGGGACUGCUUCCUCAAAGGACACUCAUGGGAGACAGAACACACAAGCCAAACCUAUCACCAUGCACAACUUGGUAUUGUUGAAUAAUAGCUCGAAGAAUGUAUCUUAGAGGAGUGCCCCUUCUAUUUUUAACCAAGAGCCAGUAUUAUCAAUAACUGAAUAGAAUGUGUCGUCUUCUGGUCAUAUUUCUUAUUUAUUAUAAAACCACCUCCUGUCA